ACGCUUUGGGAAACUGGAGCGUUAGUGGCAAACGGGUGCGUAACACGUGGGUGACCCUCCCCAGAGUGGGGAACAACGAACCGAAAGGUUCGCUAAUACCGCAUAGGCUCGGCCUUUCAUUGGGCAGAGUAAAGUCGCAAGACGCUUUGGGAGGGGCCCGCGGCCCAUCAGGUAGUUGGUGAGGUAAUGGCCCACCAAGCCGAUGACGGGUAGCUGAUCUGAGAGGAUGACCAGCCACACUGGCACUGAGACACCUGCCAGAGUCCUACGGGAGGCAGCAGUGGAUCUUGCGAAAA
RNAcentral lists this unclassified non-coding RNA (296 nucleotides) under uncultured bacterium. Its description in RNAcentral is "partial contains 16S ribosomal RNA and 16S-23S ribosomal RNA intergenic spacer region". It matches the Rfam family "Bacterial small subunit ribosomal RNA", at positions 69 to 357 of the family's 1533-position model. The record is from RNAcentral.